Molecule: non-coding RNA, 97 nt
Organism: Mycena polygramma
Lineage: Eukaryota; Fungi; Basidiomycota; Agaricomycetes; Agaricales; Mycenaceae
Source: the annotation of a GenBank genome assembly
GGCUCGGUGGUGGACGGUCCACACUCACAUCCGUUUACAAAAUUGGGUGAGAUGGAGAAUUAUGCGAGAGACACCCGUUCGACUCGGGUCUGAGCCA